UACGUAGGGGGCAAGCGUUGUCCGGAAUCAUUGGGCGUAAAGCGCGUGUAGGCGGCCAGAAAAGUCCGCUGUGAAAACUCGAGGCUCAACUUCGAGCUGUCGGUGGAAACUUUCUGGCUAGAGUCCGGAAGAGGAGAAUGGAAUUCCUGGUGUAGCGGUGAAAUGCGUAGAUAUCAGGAGGAACACCCAUGGCGAAGGCAGUUCACUGGCAGUCUCCUGACGCUGAGGCGCGAAAGCGUGGGUAGCAAACAGG
This 253-nucleotide ribosomal RNA is filed under the name uncultured bacterium. RNAcentral describes it as "partial 16S ribosomal RNA". It matches the Rfam family "Bacterial small subunit ribosomal RNA", at positions 524 to 776 of the family's 1533-position model. The record is from RNAcentral.